This 28-nucleotide small RNA is filed under the name Bombyx mori (domestic silkworm). Its description in RNAcentral is "ovarian small RNA-30298". Lineage: Eukaryota; Metazoa; Arthropoda; Insecta; Lepidoptera; Bombycidae. The record is from RNAcentral.
UGAAAAACAUGGUGUGCUUAAAUCUAAG